GACGAACGCUGGCGGCGUGCUUAACACAUGCAAGUCGAACGGAAAGGCCCUGCUUUUGUGGGGUGCUCGAGUGGCGAACGGGUGAGUAACACGUGAGUAACCUGCCCUUGACUUUGGGAUAACUUCAGGAAACUGGGGCUAAUACCGGAUAGGAGCUCCUGCUGCAUGGUGGGGGUUGGAAAGUUUCGGCGGUUGGGGAUGGACUGGCGGCUUAUCAGCUUGUUGGUGGGGUAGGGGCUUACCAAGGCUUUGACGGGUAGCCGGCCUGAGAGGGUGGCCGGCCACAUUGGGACUGAGAUACGGCCCAGACUCCUACGGGAGGCAGCAGUGGGGAAUAUUGCACAAUGGGCGGAAGCCUGAUGCAGCAACGCCGCGUGCGGGAUGACGGCCUUCGGGUUGUAAACCGCUUUCGCCUGUGACGAAGCGUGAGUGACGGUAAUGGGUAAAGAAGCACCGGCUAACUACGUG
Molecule: ribosomal RNA, 468 nt
Filed under: uncultured bacterium
Lineage: Bacteria
Description: partial 16S ribosomal RNA
Rfam family: Bacterial small subunit ribosomal RNA
Source: RNAcentral